Schistosoma curassoni is the source of this 45-nucleotide non-coding RNA. Lineage: Eukaryota; Metazoa; Platyhelminthes; Trematoda; Strigeidida; Schistosomatidae. The record is from Rfam.
AUCCAAUUGACGAGUCCCAUAUAGGACAAGACGUGCGUUCUGGAU